This 506-nucleotide ribosomal RNA is filed under the name uncultured bacterium. RNAcentral's name for it is "partial 16S ribosomal RNA". It matches the Rfam family "Bacterial small subunit ribosomal RNA", at positions 29 to 523 of the family's 1533-position model. The record is from RNAcentral.
AGUGAACGCUGGCGGUAGGCCUAACACAUGCAAGUCGAACGGCAGCACAGAGGAGCUUGCUCCUUGGGUGGCGAGUGGCGGACGGGUGAGGAAUACAUCGGAAUCUACUCUGUCGUGGGGGAUAACGUAGGGAAACUUACGCUAAUACCGCAUACGACCUACGGGUGAAAGCAGGGGACCUUCGGGCCUUGCGCGAUUGAAUGAGCGGAUGUCGGAUUCGCUAGUUGGCGGGGUAAAGGCCCACCAAGGCGACGAUCCGUAGCUGGUCUGAGAGGAUGAUCAGCCACACUGGAACUGAGACACGGUCCAGACUCCGACGGGAGGCAGCAGUGGGGAAUAUUGGACAAUGGGCGCAAGCCUGAUCCAGCCAUACCGCGUGGGUGAAGAAGGCCUUCGGGUUGUAAAGCCCUUUUGUUGGGGAAGAAAUCCAGCUGGCUAAUACCCGGUUGGGAUGACGGUACCCAAAGAAUAAGCACCGGCUAACUUCGUGCCAGCCGCCGCAGUAA